This 453-nucleotide ribosomal RNA is filed under the name uncultured bacterium. Its description in RNAcentral is "bacterial SSU rRNA". It matches the Rfam family "Bacterial small subunit ribosomal RNA", at positions 335 to 799 of the family's 1533-position model. The record is from RNAcentral.
ACUCCUACGGGAGGCAGCAGUGGGGAAUAUUGCACAAUGGGCGCAAGCCUGAUGCAGCAACGCCGUGUGAGUGAAGAAGGUUUUCGGAUCGUAAAAACUCUGUCCUAAGGGAAGAAAAAAUGACGGUACCUUAGGAGGAACGCCCCGGCUAACUACGUGCCAGCAGCCGCGGUAAUACGUAGGGGGCAAGCGUUAUCCGGAAUCACUGGGCGUAAAGGGUGCGUAGGCGGCUUGACAAGCCAGGGGUGAAAGGCAUUGGCUCAACCAAUGUAAGCCUUUGGAACUGUUAAGCUUGAGUGCAGGAGAGGUAAGUGGAAUUCCUAGUGUAGAGGUGAAAUUCGUAGAUAUUAGGAGGAACACCAGUGGCGAAGGCGACUUACUGGACUGUAACUGACGCUGAUGCACGAAAGCGUGGGGUAGCGGAACAGGAUUAGAUACCCUGGUAGCACAGAG